GCGGUAAUACCAGCUCUCCGAGUGGUAGGGACGAUUAUUGGGCUUAAAGCGUCCGUAGCCGGCUUAGCAAGUCUCCUGUUAAAUUCAGCGACCUAAUCGUUGAGCCGCGGGAGAUACUACUAGGCUAGGAGGCGGGAGAGGCCGACGGUAUUCUCAGGGUAGGGGUGAAAUCCUAUAAUCCCGG
This 184-nucleotide ribosomal RNA is filed under the name uncultured archaeon. RNAcentral describes it as "partial 16S ribosomal RNA". It matches the Rfam family "Archaeal small subunit ribosomal RNA", at positions 467 to 651 of the family's 1478-position model. The record is from RNAcentral.